CGAGUCGGUGGACCUUUGUCUUUGAUCAUCUUCUAGAUUAGUAUGAGCAGCGAGCGAGUGAACAGGAGCCUGGUGACAAUAAGGGAUGACAGGCGACGAGGUUGGAGGCAGGAAGGACACACUCGAUAAGUUUCAUCAGCCUGCGUGUCAGUACGCUCUUGCUGAUGGGGACCAGCAACCGAGAAAAAGCCAGACUGGGGUGGCGCUGCUGGUGUGGGAAUUGUGAGGAGCUUCUGGAGGAGGGGAAUGUGGACCACCAGCUCCUCAGGACUGAAGCUGCUGACCCAAGACUGAAGAAGCUGAGGCCACAGAGGGAGACUCGUGCUCACCUGGGAAGAACAAGCAGCUACAGCAUCACCUGUGAGCAUGCAUGAGCCUGAGGAAAUGAGUCAGGAGAAAGCAAGGACCUCAAAGUGAUAGCGAGAGUGCUGGGUGAUCCAAACAAUGGGACGAGAAGAGGUUCCCCAUCCCCCUCCCCACCCCCGUACCGUUGAUUUCUUACAUAAUCUUAUAUAAUGCAACAAAAUG
This is a non-coding RNA of Rattus norvegicus (Norway rat), 528 nucleotides long. The record is from RefSeq and is a predicted model, not a curated record. NCBI's taxonomy places the organism in Eukaryota, Metazoa, Chordata, Mammalia, Rodentia, Muridae.